UCGACGGAGAGUUUGAUCCUGGCUCAGGACGAACGCUGGCGGCAUGCCUAAUACAUGCAAGUCGAACGCGACCAUCCGGUGCUUGCACUGGUGAAGUCGAGUGGCGAACGGGUGAGUAACACGUGAGAAACCUACCCUGGAGUGGGGAAUAACUCGAAGAAAUUCGAGCUAAUACCGCAUACCUUCUUACCGUCGAAUGGUGGUUUGAAGAAAGAUUUAUCGCUCUGGGAGGGUCUCGCGGCCUAUCAGCUAGUUGGUGAGGUAACGGCUCACCAAGGCAUCGACGGGUAGCUGGUCUGAGAGGACGAUCAGCCACACUGGAACUGAGACACGGUCCAGACUCCUACGGGAGGCAGCAGUAGGGAAUCUUGCGCAAUGGGCGAAAGCCUGACGCAGCAAUGCCGCGUGCGGGACGAAGGCCCUAGGGUCGUAAACCGCUUUCAGUAGGGACGAAAAUGACGGUACCUGCAGAAGAAGCUCCGGCCAACUACGUGCCAGCAGCCGCGGUGAUACGUAGGGAGCAAGCGUUGUCCGGAAUUACUGGGCGUAAAGGGCUCGUAGGUGGUUGAGUAAGUCAGAUGUGAAAUCUCAGGGCCCAACCCUGAGCGUGCAUUUGAUACUGCUCUGACUAGAGUCCGGUAGGGGAGUGCGGAAUUCCUGGUGUAGCGGUGAAAUGCGCAGAUAUCAGGAGGAACACCGACAGCGAAGGCAGCACUCUGGGCCGGUACUGACACUGAGGAGCGAAAGCAUGGGUAGCAAACAGGAUUAGAUACCCUGGUAGUCCAUGCCGUAAACGUUGGGCACUAGGUGUGGGGAGAACUCAACUCUCUCCGCGCCGUAGCUAACGCAUUAAGUGCCCCGCCUGGGGAGUACGGCCGCAAGGCUAAAACUCAAAGGAAUUGACGGGGGCCCGCACAAGCGGCGGAGCAUGUUGCUUAAUUCGAGGCAACGCGAAGAACCUUACCUGGGUUGAACUACGUGGGAAAAAGCCGCAGAGAUGCGGUGUCCUUCGGGGUCCACGAUAGGUGGUGCAUGGCUGUCGUCAGCUCGUGUCGUGAGAUGUUGGGUUAAGUCCCGCAACGAGCGCAACCCUUGUCCUAUGUUGCCAGCGGGUAAAGCCGGGGACUCGUAGGAGACUGCCGGGGUCAACUCGGAGGAAGGUGGGGACGACGUCAAGUCAUCAUGCCCCUUAUGUCCAGGGCUGCAAACAUGCUACAAUGGCCGGUACAACGGGCAGCUAAACCGCGAGGUCAAGCGAAUCCCACAAAGCCGGUCUCAGUUCGGAUUGAAGUCUGCAACUCGACUUCAUGAAGCUGGAGUCGCUAGUAAUCCCGGAUCAGCAACGCCGGGGUGAAUACGUUCCCGGGCCUUGUACACACCGCCCGUCACACGCCGAAAGUCGGCAACACCCGAAGUCAGUGGCCCAACCCUUAGGGGAGGGAGCUGCCGAAGGUGGGGCUGGCGAUUGGGGUGAAGUCGUAACAAGGUAGCCGUACCGGAAGGUGCGGCUGGAUCACCUCCUUU
RNAcentral lists this ribosomal RNA (1524 nucleotides) under Candidatus Neomicrothrix sp. RNAcentral's name for it is "bacterial SSU rRNA". It matches the Rfam family "Bacterial small subunit ribosomal RNA". Lineage: Bacteria; Bacillati; Actinomycetota; Acidimicrobiia; Acidimicrobiales; Microthrixaceae. The record is from RNAcentral.